GGGAGGAAGCCGCCUGGAGCCGCCGGGAGUGGACGCCGCCGAGGCCCGGAGUCGCGCCUGCAGGCACAGCACCUGCUCAGCGUGGGUCACCUCUGUGAGCAUCACUGACUGCAAGCCUCCCUCAAUUUCUGGUAAAUUUUUUCCUUCAAGCUUUUUGAGGUCAGGGGAAGAAUCCUCCACAGAUCUUCAUGAGUCUGGUCCCAGAUCACUAACAGUUAAAGGUUUUAUGGUGGGGAGAACUUCUGCGCCACUUGGCUUCCAUUAGCCUGCCCACUCUGACCACACAAUGCAGGUGCAGCCCAUCAGGGACCCACAGCGCCUGGGAGGAUGGUGCGGAUCUUGGCCAAUGGGGAAAUUGUGCAGGAUGACGACCCCCGAGUGAGGACCACUACCCAGCCACCAAGAGGUAGCAUUCCUCGACAGAGCUUCUUCAACAGGGGCCAUGGUGCUCCCCCAGGGGGUCCUGGCCACCGCCAGCAGCAGGCAGGUGCCAGGCUGGGUGCUGCUCAGUCCCCCUUCAAUGACCUCAACCGGCAGCUGGUGAACAUGGGCUUUCCUCAGUGGCAUCUCGGCAACCAUGCUGUGGAGCCGGUGACCUCCAUCCUGCUCCUCUUCCUGCUCAUGAUGCUUGGUGUUCGUGGCCUCCUCCUGGUUGGCCUUGUCUACCUGGUGUCCCACCUGAGUCAGCGGUGACCUCUGGGGGCUGUUGGGGGUGGGCUUGUUGAGAGGGACUUGCUGGGUCUUGG
This 746-nucleotide small RNA is filed under the name Pongo abelii (Sumatran orangutan). RNAcentral's name for it is "processed transcript". The record is from RNAcentral. Lineage: Eukaryota; Metazoa; Chordata; Mammalia; Primates; Hominidae.